RNAcentral lists this unclassified non-coding RNA (240 nucleotides) under soil metagenome. RNAcentral's name for it is "partial contains 5.8S ribosomal RNA, internal transcribed spacer 2, and large subunit ribosomal RNA". The record is from RNAcentral.
AACCUAGCACACCUGCGGUGUGUACCUGCGGAGGGAUCAUUAUAGAGUUUUCUAAACUCCCAAACCCAUGUGAACUUACCAUUGUUGCCUCGGCAGAACCUACCCGGUACCUACCCUGGAACUAGCUACCCUGUAGCUACCCAGGAACGGGCUACCCUGUAACGUCCUGCCGGUGGACUUCUAAACUCUUGUUAUUUAUAGUAAUCUGAGCGUCUUAUUUUAAUAAGUCAAAACUUUUAA